CUGACUUGCAGAUGGUUUAUUUGCCUCGCUGCUCCUGCAAAGGCUCCUUUCCCACCAGCGCUGUCCAGUAGCUGCCAAGGGGAGAGGAUCCGGUGCUGGGAUCUCUGAAGUUGACUGCUGCCUCCAAAUUGGACCCAACUGCAGCUAGAGAGGAACUGAUCAGAGGCCAGUGCCCGCACCCCAGCGUUCAUCUGUCUCGGUGAGAGAGGAGAGAUGACAAAAGGCGAGGGUCCCAUGGAUUCAGAGCAGUCACCCAAUGAAGGAGAAGUUGAACUGCCUAACAACAAACUCCAGAGAGCUGUUGGGUGGAAAGCCCCGCUAGCCGUCGGCCUGGUAGUCGUCGUUGUG
Molecule: long non-coding RNA, 348 nt
Organism: Terrapene triunguis (Three-toed box turtle)
Lineage: Eukaryota; Metazoa; Chordata; Testudines; Emydidae
Exons: 3
Source: RefSeq, a predicted model, not a curated record